UGAAGAAUGAACUCUUAUCUUAGAAUUUAAAAAGAAUGAAAGUUCCUCUUCCUGUUGGUGGAAAUGUGAGGACAGAGCACUGAAGGAAAAUGUCAGGAAAAUGAGAUCAGAGCUGAACACCUGCUCAGCCAGAAACACAAAACCUCAGAGCGACGACGCGAGCAGAUCAAACAGCUCCAUGACUCACCUGUGCUCAGGUAAUAAACACACAAAUAACACACUCCUGGCUUCACUCGACGUGCUGCGGGGCAAUAAACCCCUCUCCUGCUGCUGCGGGGCGGGCAGUAAACCCCUCUCCUGCUCCUGCGGGGUGGGCAGUAAACCCCUCUCCUGCUCCUGCGGGGCGGGCAGUAAACCCCUCUCCUGUUGGUGAGCUGAAGCCCCGCCCACUCCUUCCGGCUCAUUGGACGCGCUGGCAAGGUAACGCACAGCCGAGGCCCCGCCCCCGUAUGGAAAUCAGUCGCCAUCCGCUUUAUCCUUCUACAGGGUCGCAGGCAAGCUGGAGCCCAUCCCAGCUGACUACGGGUGAAAGGCGGGGUACACCCUGGACAAGUCGCCAGGUCAUCACAGGGCUGACACAUAGACACA
This is a long non-coding RNA of Neoarius graeffei (lesser salmon catfish), 588 nucleotides long. RefSeq lists it as uncharacterized. The record is from RefSeq and is a predicted model, not a curated record. NCBI's taxonomy places the organism in Eukaryota, Metazoa, Chordata, Actinopteri, Siluriformes, Ariidae. The transcript is spliced from 3 exons.